Long non-coding RNA from Dermochelys coriacea (leatherback sea turtle), 805 nucleotides. RefSeq lists it as uncharacterized. The transcript has 4 exons. NCBI's taxonomy places the organism in Eukaryota, Metazoa, Chordata, Testudines, Dermochelyidae. The record is from RefSeq and is a predicted model, not a curated record.
CCCUGUGGAGGCCUGUAAGAAAGAAACAGCUUGAGGAUUAUAUUCCUUUCUAUUUUCUUUUGAGAGUUUCCUACACAGUUACAACAGCUGGAGACUGGAAAGUAACCAGAAGGACUAGGCCCUUCUCUUUGACAUUGGCUAAGUUGCCAAAACCCCAGCAAAGAAAAAACCCACAAUCCUAUAAUUAAUCCCACAUAAACUGUUGUUGCCCUGGAGUAUGGAAAGAAAACUACAGAUUAGAAGUGGUGGACAUGUAUGGUGACCUGUCUGGAGGGCUGAGUCAUUAAGAAGAGGCUGUGGCUCUUGGAGUGAGAGGGGUCUGCGGAGUGAGAGGAUGAUGGGAGAGAGACUGCUGGAGGAGGGUGCAACACCUUGCUAGACCUAAUCCCCAGGACGGCUAGGAAGAAGUGCCACCAGCUAUGAGUGGGACCACAAGAAACAGACAAGGCAUGGGGAAACAACAAAGUACCUCAACGAAUUACAGAAUUGCAACUCUCUUUGAGGAAGAGGAUGGAUAUGUUCCGGAUACCCCUUCACCUAGACCUCUCUGCUCCUACUCAGGAUAAAACCUCAAUGACUUCUUGGGGGAUGAUUUUAAGACUUAAAAACUCUUGGAGAGAAUAGCAGAUGUCCUAGAACUUCCUUUGGCACUGAUUCAGUAGAAGACAAAGUUAUUUGUUAUCUUACUACCAUGCUCAGAACAAAAUAGCUCUUCCAAUUAAUAAAGAAAUUCUUGAUCCUGCUGAGGAAUUAUGGGCUAUCCUAUCGCACAAACUUUGAAAAGGGCUGAAUAAAAAGAUCAAGU